CCUACGGGUGGCAGCAGUGGGGAAUAUUGCACAAUGGGGGAAACCCUGAUGCAGCGACGCCGCGUGAGUGAAGAAGUAUUUCGGUAUGGAAAGCUCUGUCAGCAGGGAAGAAAAUGACGGUACCUGACCAAGAAGCCCCGGCUAACUACGGGCCAGCAGCCGCGGUAAUACGGAGGGGGCAAGCGUUAUCCGGAUUUACUGGGUGUAAAGGGAGCGAAGACGGCAGGGCAAGUCUGGAGGGAAAGGCGGGGGCUCAACCCCCGGACUGCUCUUGAAACUGCCAGGCUGGCGUGCAGGCUAGGUAAGUUGACUUCCUCGUGUAGCGGUGACAUGCGUAGAUAUUAGGAGGAACCCCAGUGGCGAAGGCGGCUUACUGGACUGUACCUGACGUUGCGGCUCG
Molecule: ribosomal RNA, 400 nt
Filed under: uncultured bacterium
Lineage: Bacteria
Description: partial 16S ribosomal RNA
Rfam family: Bacterial small subunit ribosomal RNA
Source: RNAcentral